Long non-coding RNA from Scatophagus argus, 1896 nucleotides. RefSeq lists it as uncharacterized. The record is from RefSeq and is a predicted model, not a curated record. NCBI's taxonomy places the organism in Eukaryota, Metazoa, Chordata, Actinopteri, Scatophagidae. The transcript has 7 exons.
AGAAAAAUUGUAUUAACAUGACAUUGACUCUGAUUAGCUUAUUGUUUCCCAUGUGCAUUUGAACACAGGUAUCACAUUUGGACCUUUAAACUAUUAUCAUGAUAGUAUGUUAAUAUAUUAGUAUCAUCUUUUGAGAACAAAGAACACUUACUUUUGUGGAUUUUACUGCCAAGUGUGCAAAUGAUUAUUUUUUUAAAUAAAAAAUCAUCAUAUUAAUCAUAUUAAAUGAUUUCUAUGGGUUUUUUUUUUUCUUUUGGUCAAAACAAGACAGAGGUAAAGGUUGAAGAGUUCCGUUCGGCAACUGGACAUGAAGUUUUCUUGAAGAUGUUUCGCUUCUCCAAGAAGCUUGUUCAGUUCGGAUCUUUCUUGGAUGAGAGGAGAAAACCAUGGCCUGAUGACUGAGAAUCUUCACGGAUAAGACAGGAGUAAAAUUUGUCCAAUUUUCAUUCAGUAUUUCAAAAAUGUGUCUACUAUUGUGCAUCUGUUUCCAUGUACAGGUGUUGUUUGAGACAAUGGAGGAGCCACAGAGAGCAGAAGCUCCUAUCUCCAAGUGUAGAAGGCGGCACAAUGUCACAAAUGGACACAAAUGUCCGAUUUGUGGCCAAGUAUAUGCUGAUGUACCACAGCAUCUCAGAGUCACUGAACGGGUUACAAACAAAACUGAGCUGGCUCUUUUGAGUAAAUUUGCUCAUCGACAUUUCAUCGCUCAUCUGGACUGCCCAGUCCACCUCUGCCAGUCUAAAUACAUUACUUGACUUGACAAGCACCUACAAAAGAUCCACCAACUUGAGAAACCUAUAGUAAGGCUUUACACAUUCAAAAAGCCGAGGACAGACACAUUGCCAAGGAACUGGCACUCCUAAGGGCUUCAAAUCCCACACCACCAAUGGUUUCGCAUCUUGAUGAAGUGGACGAUGCAGUAAUUGAAGAGGGAAUCAAGAGGGCAGUGGAGGCGAGGUCACAAGCUCUCUGUAUCCUCCAUUACUGCUAUAUCACAACUUUCAACUUCUCCCCACACUUCCAGCAUGGUUUCUUGUGACCACAGUACCCCAAAUGUGCAACUUUCUUCUCCUUCUGCCAGCAUGGCUUCCUGUGACCACGGCAUCCCAAAUAUGCAAUCUCCUUCUGCCACCAAGGCUUCCUGUGACCACGCCAGCCGAAAUGUGCAGCCUCCUUCUGCCACUGACCUUGAGUAAAACUGGUUGAGGAAUUUAAGGGCUAUACAGAAGGCGCAAACCCAGGCAGGAAAACACGUGAAAAUACAAAGCAGCGAGCAACUCAUGUUAUCCAGUUUCUGGAAUUCAUGGCAGACUCAACAACUCCAAACGUUGACCUUCUUUUCCUGGCAAACCAUGGUAGAGUUCGUGGUUUUGUACAGCACCUCCAAGAAAAAGGGUUUAAACCAACAACCCAGAGAAAUUAUUUAAUGGACGCUGUGGCUUUCAUGAAAUAUGUUUCAAACAUGUCUCCACCAUCUGUCCGACUUGGAAAUAAAAGGAUCAAUGCCCUCUUGAUUGAACUGAGGGCACGGAUUAGAGACAUUGGCCAAGAAGUAGUUGGACACCAGCUCAAUGUGCGCAGAUCUAAGUCUGAUAGACUUGUCAAAGCAAAGAAGCAUGCUUUGUUUAUUGAAAAGGCUCCUCAGAAGAUUGCUGAUGCACUGGGUGGAACAGCACAAAACCCAAAGGUAUUUUGGAUCAGCAGCCGUAUACUCUAAGAACGAGCAUGACUGGUUGCGCCGUUAAAACCGACUUCGCAGAGAGAUUAAAGGAGGCUCACAGGCAUCUACUUUUUUCCACAAUGCCAAUGGGGGUGUCCUUGAUAAGCUGCCUGAAUAUUUCAAGAAGGCCUGGGAAGAGAUGAAUUUAGGGACUGCCCCCACAUUCAACAUGCUGC